UACGGUAGGGGCUAGCGUUAUCCGGAAUUAUUGGGUUUAAAGGGUGCGUAGGUGGUUUCUUAAGUCAGAGGUGAAAGGCUACGGCUCAACCGUAGUAAGCCUUUGAAACUGGGAAACUUGAGUGCAGGAGAGGAGAGUGGAAUUCCUAGUGUAGCGGUGAAAUGCGUAGAUAUUAGGAGGAACACCAGUUGCGAAGGCGGCUCUCUGGACUGUAACUGACACUGAGGCACGAAAGCGUGGGGAGCAAACAGGAUUAGAUACCCCGGUAGUCCCUGAGCGGGCU
This 283-nucleotide ribosomal RNA is filed under the name uncultured prokaryote. Its description in RNAcentral is "partial 16S ribosomal RNA". It matches the Rfam family "Bacterial small subunit ribosomal RNA", at positions 524 to 817 of the family's 1533-position model. The record is from RNAcentral.